Molecule: RNA transcript, 4695 nt
Organism: Strigops habroptila (Kakapo)
Lineage: Eukaryota; Metazoa; Chordata; Aves; Psittaciformes; Psittacidae
Gene name: cell surface hyaluronidase-like
Exons: 25
Source: RefSeq, a predicted model, not a curated record
AUAGGUAAGCGGUCUUUGCAGUUCAAGUUUGAAACUCGCUGUUGCCUCUCGCCCAUCUGCCGCUGGGGUUUUCUCCUCGCCGGCUCUCUGUUCGUGCUGCCGUUGUGGUUGCCUGAUGCGUCCGGGGUUGUAUGGAGCUGGGGAGGGGGGGUUGCUGGUUUUGAUGGUGCUACGUUAAGUGGAGAGGAAAAAAAGAGGACAAAAAUCGCAAAACACAUCAAAAGCAAAAUGUGCCUUUGCGCCGACCCCGUGCGAAGCCGCGGGAAGGAGCCGGCCCGGCGGCGCACGUGUUGCGGCGGGGAUGUCCGCAGCUGCGGGCGGCAGGUAGCGGUUGCGGGGGCUCCCGGGACGCGGGAAGCCCCGGGCAGCAGCGGCUGCUCCUGCCCUCCGUGCCGGAACUGGACCUGGAGCUGGUCCCGGUCUCGGCGCCGCCGCGAGACGCGUCGGGGAGCAGCGAGCGACGGCAGCGCACCAGGAUCCUGCCCGGAGGCCGCCGCGCACCUCGCCCCCUGGCGACCCGGCUCCGACACCAGGCGCGCCGCCGUGGUGGGCCGGGGGGCGGCCCUGCGCCUGGAGAGCUCCGCUGCCUUCCACUCCCUCGUCAUCCGCGACGGAGGGAUGCUGGUGUUCGCCGACCGUCCCCGCGGGCCGCCCAUCACCCUGCGCGCCCGCUACAUCCUUAUCCACGACGGCGGGGAGCUGCACAUCGGCUCCGAGCGCUGCCCCUACGGCUCGCGGGCCACCAUCUCGCUCUACGGGCGGGCCACCGACGGGGCGGCUGUGGAGGGCUUCGGGCAGAAGUUCCUGGGCGUGGGGCGCGGCGGCGUCCUGGAGCUGCACGGCCGGCGGCCCCGCUCCUGGACCCUCCUGGACAAAACGCUGUACCCCGGCGGGCUCCGCUACGGCCCCUAUUCCUCCGAGAAGCGGUGGGGCAGCCGCGGGCUCAACCUCCGCAUCUUGGACGCCGGCACGGCUCGGGUGCUGGCGGCGGCGCGCUUCGACACGCACCUGCGGCACGGCGAGUGCGGGCGGCUGCGCUCCUUCCUGGCCAUGCAGCCCCCCGGCACGGUGGUGGCGGCCGCCGUGGGGGACUCUGCCUCCCGCAGCCUCACGCUGGAGACGCGGCUGCUGCUGCGGGACCGCCUGGGCAGCGCUCACAUCGCCCGCCUGCGACACAGGCAGCCCUGGGCGCUGGUGGGGAUCCUCGGAGGGGAUCAGCCUUCCGCAGCAGAGGAUAAACGGGAGUACCACGGGAGUGGAACCACGGGGUUAGCAGUAGCCCGAAGAGAAUUCCUCACCUACGACGGGACCCGGUUUACCGUUACUGCUUUCAGUGGAUGGAUAAAAGGGGUGCCUCAUAAUGGAUUUAAAGUGGAAGCAUCCAGUGGAAUAAUUCUCCAUUUGGUGGAUGAAGUUACCAGUUGGUUACCUGGUGACCGGAUCGUUGUUGCCAGUACAGAUUAUUCUAUGCAUCAGGCUGAAGAGUUUAAUCUCCUUCCUUGCCCUGAAUGUAAAAGUAAUCAAGUGAAAAUUGAUGGCAGCCCACUUUAUCUUCACAUUGGAGAAGUCAUAGAUGGCGUCGAUAUGAGGGCAGAGGUUGGCCUUCUGACUAGAAAUAUACUUAUUCAAGGAGAAAUGGAAGACUCCUGUUAUGGACAAAAUCAAUGCCAGUUUUUCUCCUUCGAUACAUUUGGAGGACAUAUUAAAAUCCUAAGGAAUUUUAGCUCCGUUCACUUGUCAGGAGUGGAAUUGAAAAACAUGGGGCAGCAAAUCCUGGGCAGUUACCCUGUGCAUUUUCACUUGGCUGAGGAUGUGGAUGAGAGAGGGGGAUAUGAACGCCCUACGUACCUUGAUAACUUGGCUAUCCACCACUGCUUCUCUAGGUGUGUUGCCAUACAUGGGACUCAUGGCCUUCUGGUCAAAGACACCAUUGGCUAUGAUACUCUGGGGCACUGUUUCUUCCUGGAAGACGGGACGGAGCAGCGCAAUACCUUCUAUCACAACUUGGGCCUCCUCACAAGGCCAGGGACGAUCUUGCCUUCAGAUCGCAGCGAGGUGAUGUGCCUCGCCAUCCGCAGCCAUGUCUAUGGGAAUUAUGUUCCUGUGCCGAGCACCGACUGCAUGGCUGUCAGCACAUUCUGGAUCGCAAAUCCAAACAACAACUUAAUAGCGAAUGCAGCGGCAGGUGCUCAGGAUGUCGGGAUAUGGUACAUCUUCCACCGAGUUCCCACUGGACAGUCUGAGGGGCAAUAUCCAGAGGGACAGGCUGAAUAUACUCCCUUGGGAGUAUUUCACAACAACAGAGUCCACUCCAAUUUCAAGGCCGGUUUGUUUAUUGGAAAAGGAGUAAAGACAACGAGAGCCAAUGCUGAGGAUCCCAGAGAGUAUCUCACUGUCGAUAAUGCCAGGUUUCGCCCACAUCAAGAUGCUGAUCCUGAAAAGCCGCGAGUUCCUGCCGUGAUUGAUGGUCUUAUUGCUUUUAAAAAUAAUGACCAUGGGGCCUGGGCCAGGGGCGGUGACAUUAUUUUCUGCAACUCGGGGUUUUCAGACAAUGGAAUUGGACUCACUCUGGCAAGUGAUGGGACUUUCCCGACAGAUGAAGGCUCCAGCCUGGAGGUGACACGCUCCAUUUUUGUGGGAGAAAGCAGCAAUUUUGGGUCACAGGGAGGCCAAAACAGCUACUGGGGAAAAGGAGCAAAUGGGGAAUACAGAACACUACCCAGAAACAAGACGUUCCCUAUUCGUGGAUUCCAGAUUUAUGAUGGGCCUGUCAGGAUGGUAAAAUGCACUUUCAAGAAGUUCAUUCCAACUGUUGACAGAUACUCAAGUGCCAUUGGGUUCUUCAUGAAAAACUCCUGGCAGAUAAGCCCCCAGAAUAAUGUGUCACAGAUCCUGAUGGAGAAGAGUGUUGGACUGAAAGUGUUUUUUGGCAGAUCAGGCCAGUGGUUUGGAAACAAUGACAAUGAUGGUGACAAAAUGUCUAUCUUCCAUGAUCUGGAUGGCUCGGUGACAGGGUAUCUGGACACUUUCAUAGGCAGAGCGGACAACUACUUGCUGCGUCAUCCCGGGUGUCUCACUGUCCCAUGCUGGAACGGGGUGAUGUGUACUGGGAAAUUCGCACAGCUUUAUAUUCAGGCCAGACGCCCUGAGAAUCUGACCUUAUCCAUUGCCAGAGCAGCAUACCAUUCCCAUCCCUUGCGGUUGCAAGGCGUGAACAGAGGAGCACCAUACCAGCAGUACCAGCCUGUCGUCAUGCUUGAGCAGGCUUAUAUCAUCCAGUGGGAUGGCAGAGCACCUGAGGAUAUUAUCCUGUACCCCAUCAACUUCAACAGAGGAGACUGGCUGCAUGUUGCCCUCUGCUAUCCCAGGGAAGCCGUUUUCCAGGUGGUGGCGGAUAUCUACCAGCGAAGGACAGGGAUGGUGCAUAGCGUAAAGCGCUACCUGGCUGCUCCUUCACGAGCCAGCGCUCUCAAUGGGACCGACGAGCAGCUCUUCUACUUUGACAGAGCAUCAGGCUAAAAUAGGGAGGAAAAAAGUGCUUUGUGGUCUAACCAUGGGUCCCAUGAUGCUUCACCUGACUAAGUAGCUGCUUCAGGAAUCAAUCCACAACUGCCAGAUUUGAAAAUAAGGGCGAUGGGGAAGGAGAAGUUGCCCAAAUUCUGAAAACAGGUUGUUUACUACUGAAUAGCAGGAAAAUAGUUAUACCUGUGGGUCUGUGGGGGAAGAGUCAUUAGCUGCCAGCAGCCACCUGGACCUGGUACCUAUUUGUUCAUCUGCAAGCCCAUGAAGCUCGGGAAGGACACAGCUACUGCUCUCAGAAAGGCUGUGAACGUAUUAAAAUCAUGGCACAUAUGUACCCGGGGGACUCCUGGAGCUGUGACCCAAACCCUUUCCUGGAGAGGCCAGCAGCCACCCAGCGCCCCGUGUCCCAGCACCCAGCUGAGCCAUGCAGGGUGUGUGGGGCCCCGCAGCUUGCUAUCACUAGCACACCCUCAGUCAAGUAUAUAAGGAUCCAGAUCCAGUCUCUCAGCAGGAUGGACAUACAAAACCACUUGACAUCCGCAUUCAUUAAGAUAAAUGACACCGUUUUCCUGUUCAAUAGCCAUGGGAUAUUCUUUGUGGUGGUAGAUGCAUGUUCAGGAGCAGUCGUGAGUAGGCGGCACUUUGACACAGUUACUGGUGAAAACGCUGCCAGUGCAAUAACUGACUACGUUCAAACAUCUAUAAAAGAGAGAUCACUUGUUCUCGUGUGCUCUAGAGAUAUUGCAGAUGUGAUGGGGAGCUCUGAAAUGACUAUUUUUACCAGGUUAGGUUCAGCAAAGCCUAUUGUCUUCCAUAAGGAAGGGAGUUUUGCCAUGCUUGGCUAUAAAGGACAAGCCAAACCCUCCUGGAUUAAAGUCCUUAAUCAUGCUGGUUAUCGUAAAGCUGCUUCUUUACAGCAUUAUGUUCCCUUGAAGCUGAAAGAAUAUCAAUGUCCAGCUAACGCUGAUGAGUCGCUAAAAUUUGCUUUUUCUCAGACUCGCUUGGAGCACAUCUCUACAGAGGCCGCAGCAUCCCAGGAUUAGCAUCACUGGGGAACACCAGCCAGGCAAAGCCUGCUGCUGCCACCAAAGCUGCUCUUGUUUUCAUGGGAUUGUACCAAACCAAUGGUGUUCACUUGUAUAUAUUAUAACUAAUAAAUAUAGUCUCAUCUUU